GAUGAAGAACGUAGCGAAAUGCGAUAAGUAAUGUGAAUUGCAGAAUUCAGUGAAUCAUCGAAUCUUUGAACGCACAUUGCGCCCGCCAGCAUUCUGGCGGGCAUGCCUGUUCGAGCGUCAUUUCAACCCUCGAGCCCCCCCGGGGGCCUCGGUGUUGGGGGACGGCACACCAGCCGCCCCCGAAAUGCAGUGGCGACCCCGCCGCAGCCUCCCCUGCGUAGUAGCACACACCUCGCACCGGAGCGCGGAGGCGGUCACGCCGUAAAACGCCCAACUUUCUUAGAGUUGACCUCGGAUCAGGUAGGAAUACCCGCUGAACUUAAGCAUAUCAUAAGCGGAGA
This 341-nucleotide unclassified non-coding RNA is filed under the name soil metagenome. RNAcentral's name for it is "partial contains 5.8S ribosomal RNA, internal transcribed spacer 2, and large subunit ribosomal RNA". The stretch from base 1 to 120 matches the Rfam family "5.8S ribosomal RNA", at positions 35 to 154 of the family's 154-position model. The record is from RNAcentral.